This 654-nucleotide ribosomal RNA is filed under the name uncultured bacterium. Its description in RNAcentral is "bacterial SSU rRNA". It matches the Rfam family "Bacterial small subunit ribosomal RNA", at positions 728 to 1382 of the family's 1533-position model. The record is from RNAcentral.
UCUGGUCUGUAACUGACGNUGAGGCUCGAAAGCGUGGGGAGCAAACAGGAUUAGAUACCNUGGUAGUCCACGCCGUAAACGAUGAGUGCUAGGUGUUAGGCCCUUUCCGGGGCUUAGUGCCGCAGCUAACGCAUUAAGCACUCCGCCUGGGGAGUACGACCGCAAGGUUGAAACUCAAAGGAAUUGACGGGGGCCCGCACAAGCGGUGGAGCAUGUGGUUUAAUUCGAAGCAACGCGAAGAACCUUACCAGGUCUUGACAUCCCUCUGACCGCUCUAGAGAUAGAGUUUUCCUUCGGGACAGAGGUGACAGGUGGUGCAUGGUUGUCGUCAGCUCGUGUCGUGAGAUGUUGGGUUAANNNNNNCAACGAGCGCAACCCCUAUUGUUAGUUGCCAUCAUUGAGUUGGGCACUCUAGCGAGACUGCCGGUAAUAAACCGGAGGAAGGUGGGGAUGACGUCAAAUCAUCAUGCCCCUUAUGACCUGGGCUACACACGUGCUACAAUGGCUGGUACAACGAGUCGCAAGCCGGUGACGGCAAGCUAAUCUCUGAAAGCCAGUCUCAGUUCGGAUUGUAGGCUGCAACUCGCCUACAUGAAGUCGGAAUCGCUAGUAAUCGCGGAUCAGCACGCCGCGGUGAAUACGUUCCCGGGCCUU